UGGACAGAAAGACCCUAUGAAGCUUUACUGUAACUUGAAAUUGAAAUUGGAUUUUAGUCGCGCAGUAUAGGUGGGAGGCGUUGAGAAUAAUCUUGUGGGAAUAUUGGAGCUGUUAAUGAAAUACCACUCUUCUACUAUUAAAUUUCUAACCUUGAAUCAUUAUCUGGUCAAGGAACAAUUUUUGGUGGGCAGUUUGACUGGGGCGGUCGCCUCCCAAAAAGUAACGGAGGCGUACAAAGGUUUCCCCUGAACGAAUAGAAAUCGUAUCUAGAGUAUAAAGGCAUAAGGAAGCUUGACUGUGAGGCCUACAAGUCGAGCAGGGACGAAAGUCGGUCUUAGUGAUCUGACGGUACUGAGUGGAAAGGCCGUCACUCAACGGAUAAAAGUUACUCUAGGGAUAACAGGCU
This 407-nucleotide ribosomal RNA is filed under the name uncultured eukaryote. RNAcentral's name for it is "bacterial LSU rRNA". It matches the Rfam family "Bacterial large subunit ribosomal RNA", at positions 2077 to 2483 of the family's 2925-position model. The record is from RNAcentral.